GAGGGAGGGAGGACUGAGGCCACUGCUCUCACUGGAGUCUCUGAGGGGAGGCAAAGCAGGGCAGGAUUCACAGUUUGGGACCGGCUUGUUUGAAUCGUUUUAAGAAGGCUUGAGGCUAGAGGGGUAGCCUCUAGCAGGCUGGUACCUCGCCCUGGGAUGACUAAGUUGCACCUUCCUGGGGUGCACGGGCCAGACGGAGGAGUGUGGCUCUGGCUGGGUUAGUUUACACAUGGAAGGCAAGCUCCUGGCUGGAGCUUUGCUCUAAGAAUCAGCUAGCCCUUGGAGGGGCAGUCUCUCCCCAGCCAGGAAGGGUUUCUGUUUGUUUGCUUGCUUGUUGGUUUUGUUUUUCUUUUUUUUAGAUAUCAAAACAUAAUCAGACAAUAACAUAUGUACAACACAACUUUUAAAUCAGUGGACUUUGAGUGUAGCAGACUGCCUUACAUAAUGUGGGUGGGCCUCAUCCAAUCAGUUGAAGGCCUUCCUAGCACACUGACCUCUCCCAAGAAAGAGGGAACUCUCCCAGCAAAUGGCCUCUGGACGUGAACUGCUACUCUUUGCUAUAUCGCCAGCCUGUUGGCUCACCUCCAUUAGCUUGUGGACUCACCAAGUCUCCAUAAUUGUGUGAGCCAAUUCCUCAAAAUAAAUCCUGCUCGAUAUAUGAAUGCACACGCAUCCUGUUGGUUCUGUUUCUCUGAAGACCGCUGACGGACACAGAUGCCUUAACUCUGAAGACCACCACUGUGCGCGAGGAGCUUCUGUUCCCUCCUGUUCGUUCAUCUUUUUUGGAGGGAAGCUUGGAGACUCUUGGGGGAGAACCCUGUCAGGGAAACCCGACAAAAUCAUGAAUAGCUAGCAUGUAGGAGUGCCCAUCAGAACAAGAAUGCUUUGGCUCCCUGCGGCUGCAUCACAGAGCUCUCUGCUGGGUUGGGUGUCGGGCUCUGGGGGCCCCCGAGCUACGGACGUCGGGAUGGUGUGCUGUCUCCGUAUGAGGCCAUGUGAUUUUACUAUCAAAAACUGAAGCAAUGCGAGGGUGUAUUUUUUUUUAAAGAUUUCAUUUAUUUAUUUAUGUAUUUGAGAGAGAGAUAGACAGACAAAGAGCAGGAGAGGAGCAGAGGAAGAAGGACAAGCAGACUCCAUGCUGAGCGCAGAACCUGGCAUGCGACUUGAUCCCAGAACCCUGAGAUCACGACCUGAGCUGAAAUCAGAGUCGGAGGUUUAACUGACGGAGCUCCCAGGCGCCCCUAGCGUGUGGUGUAUGACAUCCCGCCUUCCUCCGAGAUACCUCUGCGGCUGGGGUAGGCGCUGGCAGGUAGAUGAUGGAGCUCCUGUGGCCGUGCCGGCUGACAGCAAGCCCGAGCGGCCACACGUGGUGCCCUUUCCCGGGGAUUUGGAUGGCAGUGUCCGGCGUGGCUGACACGCUGCAGAGAUGGUAAAGGUGCUCGCCAGUUAUUUCGUGCUGAUGGACAAGUCCUGUCUGAGCACAGUGCCCACUGCGUUGUCACGACAGGCUCGUGGGCAGAUGCACCGAGGGCAGGCCGGCCUUCCAUCAGCCACCCUAACGGGCACCAGUAGUCAGGAGGUGGGAGACGCUCCUCAGAAAGGUAACCGUGCAAAAGCAGUCUGCUUCAGUGGCCGCCUCACUCGGGGCAGUCAGCAUGUUGACCAGCUCUAAAGGACGUGACUCUCUCAUUCCUUAGGGACAGCCACAGCAGUAAAGCUGGACCCAGACUGUGUGUGGAGCUUACUCAAAUCAGUGCUUGCUUUUCAUCUAUGCAGAGGCCAUCAGAGGAGCCAGAAAUCGGCCCUUGCAACUGUUACGAAGUGAAGUGGAUUGUAGACCACAGCAAGCACGGCCCCAACCCCGGACCAUCUUCCCUCCUCGGUGGUUCGGGCAACCUCGUCCGCAUUUCCGUACUGAGGAGACGACAGAACCACGUGUAUCAUCGGGAGUUGUAAAAAUUUUAUCAGAGAAAAGGCCAAGGGACCCAUUGUGCCUCACCAACAGGGGUCUACGGCCGAGAAGUGACAUGAGAAGGCGAGAGGCUUCCGUCACGGACCCGUGGCGAGGUUGUGUGACUGGGGGGCAGAAACCCAGACACCAGGCCUGGAGAACGAAGUUACGGGAGGAGUUCUAUGGCCAUAAGGGAGGUGCUCCAACGCUAAGGUGAACCAACCCACGGCCCCAGGCCCCGGAAGAAGAAAAGGCAGCUCCUCUGAGCUCUGCAGCUGGGCUGUUUCACGGAACAGGCUGGGGGAGGCUUCAUCUGCCUGGUCCCCGCCUCAUGUGUCCUUGGUCCCCCAGGGACCCUCCGCAUCGCCCACACCUUGGUUUGGUAAUGACAUGCAGGGAAGGUGACAUGGCAGAAGCCUGGUCAGCAUCCCCCACCCCUGCGGCCCGGCCCGUCUUUGCUCCUAACCCCCAUACGCUCUCGACCUCUUCCAAAAGGAAACAAGAUUGACUUUGGUCUGAAAGAGGUAUGCUUAAAAAAAGAUCUUCUUUUAUUAAAACAGUGGUUACAAAUACUUCAUUGGACUUCCCCAUCCUUUCUCCAUCGCACCGGGCUCAGAGUCAACGCAUGCAGCACUUGGCCUUCCCGCCGUAACAGGUGCCGUCCACCCUGGUGAAGAGCGGGCACGGGGAAAAGUUACAGGUGCCUCCUCUCCUGGCACAGACGUAGUGGUCUGACCUCUGGCCGAAACCUGUAAGGUAGCCAGCACCUGUAAGAAGGGAAAGAAAACACUUCAGACUCAUGCUUGCGGCCACGGUGACGUUAGAACAUUUGAUAAGGUGACUCUUUGCAAAGCACUGCAAGGAGUUUUCUUGCUCAGACUUUGCACAGUCCGAGGUCUGUGACAGCCGUGGCCAAAUGGGAGACAACGAUGAGCAACAGGCUUCUGAGCGCGGUUUCCUUCUGCCCAGAGAGCUUUAAGGUACACGGUGAGUUCACGUUAGUCCCCAAAUGAGUCUUCUAUCCCAUCGCACUGCUGCCCAAACACAACCCCUGUGCCUUAGUGACACUGAAGUGCAUUCCUGACUCCCUGAACGUUCUAAGCUCCCCCCACUCCCGUGCUGCCUGGUUGCACCAUCCCCUCCGCCCGGAAUCCCUGCUCCCCUGUCCCUCAUACCACCAUCUUCCCUGAAAUCCUUUCAGGGCAGGUAGAAAGUAUGGCUACGCUAUAAUGCUUCCACUGUUUUGUCCACUUGGACUUUAUUCUGCCUUCUUCCCAGUAUCCCAGAAUCUCACAAUCAGAAGAUUUCCAGACUGGUCUUCUCCUCUAUCCAAUAGCCGCCCUACUAUAUCCCCGAGAUGAAAACUGCUAAAAGAGAACGUCCAGUCAUGGCUUCCUGCAGUGACCACACAACCGGCAUUCACCUCAGGGCAUGUGGGCCUCUGUUUCCCCAUGGGUGAGUAGACGAGCCCUAAUGGCUUUCCCAGAAAAGGGAGUGAACUGAUCCUAUGUGAGGGCUCAGAGUGAGUCACAGUGUGAGGCUGGGACCCAAGCAGCACCUUCUAGAAGCAGCGCUCUGCUCCCUUCUUACAGGAACUUCGUCCCGUCCCAUCUGCAGACUGAGGAUCGGUGCUGUGCAGACAGGCCGUGUGUUGUCAGAGGUCGGCGCAGAGCAGCUUUUCCCGGCAGCAUCCGAGCGAGUCCUGCAUACACUCGGUGUUCUACCAGGUUAGCUGAUAUUUCUAUGCGGGAUGUAAGUUGGGCUGUUCCAGGAACACGUUUGUGUUCCCUGCUUCGAAUGAGAUGCUUCUAGUCCCAUGUCGAGGUGACAGACUGCAAUUCAUGUUAAUACUGUGGCUCUCAGCUUUUCUGAGCUUGAACCGAACUGCAGUCAGUCAGACAGGUUGCCGGGCCCCUCGGGACAAAUGCACACGUCCACGCACGCAGCUGAGGUCAGAGCGUGACAAAACGGCGGUGCGAGCGCGGUGUGGCAAGCACUCGUAUUUUCGGUUCUUUUGAAAAAAACACGGUGAGGACUCACUAGGCUGAUUGCUCCAGCCCUCGAAUGGGCCCCAGCUGGAAACCUCAAACUCUGCGUCAGAAUACUGUCCUAGCCAGUUUCCAGUGGGGGGAUGCAGCAGAUCUGUAUGAUGCGGGAAAGCAUGGUCGGGUCUUUCCGGAGAAAAGCAUGGAGCUUCGUGUGCUACGUGCCCCCCGCCCCAGCCCCCUUGUUCUGCAGACGAGACAGCUGAGGCCCAGGAUGCAGGGUUUGCUCAAGGCCACGACAGAACCUGUCCCCCAGUUGGUUGCACCUGCAGCAUCCCAUCUCUUCUUACACUGCUGUUCUGACCCAGGGGGCUGGCACCUUGCGGCCUGACAGAGCGCUCCCCCCUGCGCCCUGGGGAGAUUGCCCACUCCGCAGAACACGUGAGCAUUUCCCAAGGAAGACCGAAGACCACCUGAGCACCCCUGACCGCCUGCGCGUGAACUGCGACUGGAUUCAGCCGUCAGCCUGGAAACUGGAGUUGGCUCCUCCAGCCAGUUCUGUUUGGUUUCUGAGGCUGGGCCGUGCUGGUGGGCUUCCUGAAGAAGGCAGCCCAGGCAAGCUGGCCCGUGUGGAGCGGCUUAGAGAGCCCGAGGACCUGGCUUCGGGGGAGCACCGAGACAGUGCUGAAUAGUACUCUGUCGUUGGAAUGAACCUCGGUUUACUUCUCCAUUCGUUUACUGAAGGACGUCCCCGUUGCUUCCAAGCUUCGGCGAUGAUGACUGAAGCUGCAAUAAGCCUGUGUCAGGUUCUUGUGUGGCCAGAUGUUUUCAACUCCUCUGUGUGAAUGUCGAGGUGCGUGAUUGCCGGAUCGUAUGGUAAGAGGUUCCAUUUUAUUAAAAAUUGGCGCCGUUUUGCACCCCCUGGCGGUGAGAGUUCCCGCUGCUCCAGGUCCUGGCCAGCAUUGGGUGUUGUCAGUGCUCCCAGAUUCGGGCCAUUCUCACGGUGGGGAGCACUCUUUCCUUGUCUCAAUGUGCAUUUCCCUGGUGACGUAUGAUGUGGCGCAUCUCUUCUUGUCCAGCCUUCCUUUUCUCCAGCUAGACGUCUGUUCCUAGGAAGUUGUCACCUACGGCUUCCCAGAGAGCAAGCCCUGGUGUGGCCUCGGGGAGUCCCAAGUCCUGGUUUCCAGCGGGGCUGAGUCUUCCUGAGCUCAAGGAUUGGAGUCCGGUCCUUCAGCUGCCAGACUGGGGUGUUGUGUUAGCUACUGUCUAGAAUCUCUCCAGUUCUCAUCAAUUCUAACGGUAUUUUAAAGGUUUUGUUUAUUAUUAUUUUCAUAAUUCUAUGCGUGGCUUUCCUACUGUCUUGGUCAGUGUUCCUAUGUGUGAGCAAGAGAAGCAGCUCUGGCUGAUUAAACAGAGAGGAGUUUCCCAAAAGGGUCGUUGGGGGGCCUGCAGAACCUGCUUGGAGCUCAGCUUCCAGCAACAGUGUCCGAACUAGGCCACAGAUCUCAACUGACACAGACCCGUGUGCUGUGGCCGCUAUGCGUGAGACACCAGGAGCUGGCCUUCACCACCAAAGCAGCACCUUCUGGAUACUUCCACAGCAGCCCUGCCAGAGAGAGGACAGAGAGACACAUGCACACACAGACUGUGAGAGACAGAGAAGAACAGAGAAACAGAGCGAGGCACACAGAGACAGAGACGUGGGCAGACGGGUUUGACAUGAGGAGCCCCCUUCCCUGCCCUUCUCACACUGAGCCCCACCAUUGGUCCCAUUGUCCCACCAGCCCUGGGUCCGGGUGGCAGAGGCUCAGUCACAGGGCCAGCUGCGAGGGAGUCUGGGAAAGCAAGACCCUCACAUAUUCAGCAUGUGUCGAGGGGGUUUUUGCCUCCCAUUGAGUCUGAAGUUAGGGGACCCCCAGACACUGAGAAGGGUUAAGAUGUUGAGUGAAUAAAAACAUACACAAGGCUUUAUUGCAUUCGAAUUCGUUGAUCCUUCCAUUGGCUGGUUCGAGUGCAUUUGUUCAAUUCCCGUGAUGUGCCGGGUGAUCUUCUGCUGGCUUGGAGUGCAGUGAGGAGUCAGCUCUCAGGAGGUGUCCCUCACAGGUCUAGCUGGGGAGACAGAUGAGCAGACAGGGCGUUACUGCGGCACUUGGCAGGUGCUUGAUGGGGACGUGGUUCAGGCAGGGGGUGGGCCAGGCCAGUGCCCGAGGCACACGUACAUGUAUUUAGGCUUUUAAAUGCCACAUUGGACAGUGUGGGGUUUCUCCUUAGCGAUAGGGAGGCUUUGGAAUAUCUGAAUCGGAGGAAAUAAGUGGAAGGUGGAUGGGAAGAGCAAGACUGGAUGUAGGAAGACAAGGUGAGGCUGGUGGAGGAACUGGGGUCUUAACUAAGGUAGUGAAGAGGGAUGGAAGGAAGCUUGGAGUCAAGGGGUAUUAAGAUGCUGAAGCCAAGGCAUCAGUGUCGUAGACGGAAGGGGCGAGAUUUCUGGCUCGGACUAGAUAAAGGUGACGUCAUAUAAGGAGCUGGGAUAAAGAGGAGGGGCAUCUGACUGGGGAGAUGGUGCUUGCAUCAAUGUUUGCGCGUAAGGAGCGUCUCGCUUUGGGUUUCCCUGGAGGCAUGAGUGAAUCCAGCGAUGGGGAGGUGUAAAGAUUAUUAGUAAGUGAGGGGAGAAAUAAUUAAUGGGGGGAGGCAGGACGGCCGAUAAAAUGUGUGAUAUUAAGGCCACAGGGGACGCGCCGAGCUGAAUUGUGUGGGAACCUCGGGAAGCCAAGCCCCCGAUCUCCCCAGGCUAGGGAAUUUGAAAGCUGGGGUAUUCAUGCCCCACAGCCUCAUCACUGGUUAAAGCUGCUCCUAGCACGAGGCUGAUUCCUGGGCGUGAAGGUUGGUGGGCUGUGCUGCCUGGUGGCAGAGAGACAGGUGUCGGCUCUUGGAAGGCAAGCGAUUUGCACAGAAAUGGUAAAGGAGGCUGUGGUAAUGAAUGAAAUCUGUAAGGAAAGGAGGUUUUUAACAAAUCCCAGAGAAGACGGACAUUUCAGGGAGCAUGAAAGAAAACCAGGAGAAUGGGGGUGGAAGUCAGGGGAGGGAGCAUUUUCAUGGGAGGGAGAGGCGACCAAAUGCAGAAAACUGUAUGACAACAAAACAUUGCAGAGUGUCCGCUGGGUUUGACAUCCAGUGAGGGUGUGCGAGAAGCCCCAGACUCCUCCUGGGUGCACUUGGUUCUAGGCGGCUGUAGCCAGAUAUUUGGGACAUUGGCCCCACCUGAGUGGGCACUGACAUUCUAACCUCCCGCCCCUGGGGUCCCGUCUGCCCCCGGUUUCUGUCCACCUCCUGCUGAAUGGCUUUUCCUUCACCUCUGGCGGAGUUUCUCCUUUAUUUCUGGCACCUGAGGGUUCGAGCUCCAUGCUUUCAUCCUUGGCCCUGUGUUAACACUGGCUGUCGAUGUUUCCAGUCCUCCUAUGUAUUUAUGGUAGUGUUAGGGUGCAGGCUGCCUUGCUGUGUGGCCGGGACCCCCAGGGGCGGGGUCCCAGUAGCCACAAUGAGAAGGCACCCGCACCGGAGAGCCUCAGGUCAGGGAGAUGGCUUUGGAAACAGGAGAGCGGCCGCACUGCCCGCAGCCGCCGGCUCGCGCUGGUAAGAAGCGUCACGGAAAUCAAGCUGUCCAUCUAUUUGAAGGGCUGGGAGGUCACAGAUGGCAAAAUGAGCAGAGGGGCGCCUGGGUGGCACAG
Long non-coding RNA from Ailuropoda melanoleuca (giant panda), 7661 nucleotides. RefSeq lists it as uncharacterized. Lineage: Eukaryota; Metazoa; Chordata; Mammalia; Carnivora; Ursidae. The transcript is spliced from 5 exons. The record is from RefSeq and is a predicted model, not a curated record.